GCCUGAGAAACGGCUACCACAUCUAAGGAAGGCAGCAGGCGCGCAAAUUACCCAAUCCUAAUACAGGGAGGUAGUGACAAGAAAUAACAAUACAGGACUUUUUGGUUUUGUAAUUGGAAUGAGUUAAGUAUAAACCCCUUUACAAGUAUCAAUUGGAGGGCAAGUCUGGUGCCAGCAGCCGCGGUAAUUCCAGCUCCAAUAGCGUAUAUUAAAGUUGUUACAGUUAAAAAGCUCGCAGUUGGAUUUCUGUUAAUAAUUUAUAUAAAAUAUUUUGUAUAUUUAUAUCACAUUAACAUAAUUCAUAUUACUAUAUUUUUUAGUAUAUGAAAUUUUACUUUGAGAAAAUUAGAGUGCUUAAAGCAGGCAUAUGCCUUGAAUACUCCAGCAUGGAAUAAUAUUAAAGAUUUUUAUCUUUCUAAUUGGUUCUAAGAUAAGAAUAAUGAUUA
This 446-nucleotide ribosomal RNA is filed under the name Cryptosporidium parvum. RNAcentral's name for it is "SSU rRNA". It matches the Rfam family "Eukaryotic small subunit ribosomal RNA", at positions 394 to 871 of the family's 1831-position model. The record is from RNAcentral. Lineage: Eukaryota; Apicomplexa; Conoidasida; Eucoccidiorida; Cryptosporidiidae.